Molecule: long non-coding RNA, 1047 nt
Filed under: Zonotrichia albicollis (white-throated sparrow)
Lineage: Eukaryota; Metazoa; Chordata; Aves; Passeriformes; Passerellidae
Description: lncRNA (ENSZALG00000001781.1)
Source: RNAcentral
UGCCGGACCUGGGGACAGCCAUGUCACCUGUGUCACCUCUGUGUCACCUGUGUGACCUACAGUGUCCCUGUGUCACCUACAGUGUCCCUGUGUCACCCCGGGGUGAUGGCCCUGCGCUCCAUCACACUGCCGGACCUGGGGACAGCCAUGUCACCUGUGUGAGCUACAGUGUCACCUGUGUGCCAUCUGUGUGACCUACAGUGUCCCUGUGUGACCUACACUGCCUCUGUCACACCCCCAGUGUCACCCCGGGGUGAUGGCCCUGCGCUCCAUCACGCUGCCGGACCUGGGGACAGUGACAUUGGGGACAGCAGUGUCACCUCCCUGUGUCACCUCUGUGUCACCUCUGUGACCUACAGUGUCCCUGUGUCACCCCGGGGUGAUGGCCCUGCGCUCCAUCACACUGCCGGACCUGGGGACAGUGACACUGCUGUCACCUCUGUGUCACCUCUGUGUCACCUGUGUGACCUACAAUGUCCCUGUGUCACCUGUGUGACCUACAGUGUCCCUGUGUCACCCCCACUGUCACCCCGGGGUGAUGGCCCUGCGCUCCAUCACACUGCCGGACCUGGGGACAGUGACACUGCUGUCACCUCUGUGUCAUCUGUGUGCCAUCUGUGUCACCUGUGUCACCUCUGUGUCACCUGGGUCACCCACAGUGUCCCUGUGUGUCCCAAGGCAGCGGUGGCACCUCCAUUACCCCCAAUAUCCCUUUGUCACGUCCCGGUUCCUCCCAGUGUCCCAAAACCGCCCCAGUCCCUCCCAGUACCCCAAAACCCCAUCCCAGUAACUCCCAGUGCCCCAAAAAUCUCCUCCCAGUCCCCCCAGUUUGAUCCCAGUUCCCCCCAGUCCCUCCCAGUGCUCCCCCAGUCCCUUCCAGAGCCUGAAAACAUGAUCUCAGUAACUCCCAGUGCCCCCAAAACCCCUCCCAGUGCUCCCAGUACCCCAAAACCUUAUCCCAGUCCUUUUCCUGUCCCUCCCAGUGUUUCCCAGUGCCCUCCCAGUGCCCCAAAACCCCAUCCCAGUUGCUCCCAGUCCCUCCCAGUA